This 97-nucleotide ribosomal RNA is filed under the name Salmonella enterica subsp. enterica serovar Enteritidis. RNAcentral describes it as "partial 16S ribosomal RNA". The stretch from base 1 to 87 matches the Rfam family "Bacterial small subunit ribosomal RNA", at positions 1447 to 1533 of the family's 1533-position model. Lineage: Bacteria; Pseudomonadati; Pseudomonadota; Gammaproteobacteria; Enterobacterales; Enterobacteriaceae. The record is from RNAcentral.
UGGUCGCUUACCACUUUGUGAUUCAUGACUGGGGUGAAGUCGUAACAAGGUAACCGUAGGGGAACCUGCGGUUGGAUCACCUCCUUACCUUAAAGAA